Molecule: ribosomal RNA, 504 nt
Filed under: uncultured bacterium
Lineage: Bacteria
Description: partial 16S ribosomal RNA
Rfam family: Bacterial small subunit ribosomal RNA
Source: RNAcentral
AUUGAACGCUGGCGGCAUGCCUUACACAUGCAAGUCGAACGGCAGCAUGGAGAGCUUGCUCUCUGAUGGCGAGUGGCGAACGGGUGAGUAAUGCAUCGGAACGUACCGUGUAAUGGGGGAUAACGUAGCGAAAGUUACGCUAAUACCGCAUACGACCCGAGGGUGAAAGCAGGGGAUCGCAAGACCUUGCGUUAUACGAGCGGCCGAUGUCAGAUUAGCUAGUUGGUGAGGUAAAGGCUCACCAAGGCGACGAUCUGUAGCGGGUCUGAGAGGAUGAUCCGCCACACUGGGACUGAGAAACGGCCCAGACUCCUACGGGAGGCAGCAGUGGGGAAUUUUGGACAAUGGGGGCAACCCUGAUCCAGCCAUGCCGCGUGAGUGAAGAAGGCCUUCGGGUUGUAAAGCUCUUUCGGCCGGGAAGAAAUCGCACAGGCUAAUACUCUGUGUGGAUGACGGUACCGGCAUAAGAAGCACCGGCUAACUACGUGCCAGCCGCCGCAGUAA